GCGCGCGCCAGGCGGUCUCCAAGUCAGUGAUGAAAGCCUGAGCUCAACUCCAGAACUGCCAUGAAACUGUUAGACUUGAGUACGAGAGAGGUGAGUGGAAUUCCCAGUGUAGAGGUGAAAUUCGUAGAUAUUGGGAAGAACACCGGUGCGAGGCGGCUCACUGGCUCGUAACUGACGCUCAGGCGCGACAGCGUGGGGAUCAAACAGGAUUAGAUACCCUGGUAGUCCACGCCGUAAACGAUGAUUGCUAGCCGUUGGGCAGCUUGCUGUUCAGUGGCGCAGCUAACGCAUUAAGCAAUCCGCCUGGGGAGUACGGCCGCAAGGUUGAAACUCAAAGGAAUUGACGGGGGCCCGCACAAGCGGUGGAGCAUGUGGUUUAAUUCGACGCAACGCGCAGAACCUUACCAGGGUUUGACAUCCCAAGACCGCCUCGUAACGGAGGUUUCCCCGCAAGGGGCUUGGAGACAGGUGCUGCAUGGCUGUCGUCAGCUCGUGUCGUGGGAUGUUGGGUUAAGUCCCGCAACGAGCGCAACCCUCGCCUUUAGUU
Molecule: ribosomal RNA, 547 nt
Filed under: uncultured bacterium
Lineage: Bacteria
Description: bacterial SSU rRNA
Rfam family: Bacterial small subunit ribosomal RNA
Source: RNAcentral